Molecule: unclassified non-coding RNA, 283 nt
Filed under: fungal sp.
Lineage: Eukaryota; Fungi
Description: partial internal transcribed spacer region
Rfam family: Eukaryotic small subunit ribosomal RNA (bases 1-46)
Source: RNAcentral
AAGUCGUAACAAGGUUUCCGUAGGUGAACCUGCGGAAGGAUCAUUACCAAUUCGACCUUGGGUUUGGAAAAUGGCGUUUGCCGUUUUUCUGAAUUCCAUCCAACCAACCUUUGAUUGUGAACAAGGAUUUAUCAAGUCUUCCUGUGUUUGUUCACGGGAAGCAAUUUUAUCCAACUCCACUUAAAUCCGCACCGCGCGUGUGGAAAAAGCAAGCGUUGAGCUCCGAAACUGAAAAAAACAAAAAUGUCAUGUACAACUUUUAACGGCGGAUCUCUUGGCUCGU